GCCCAAAUGCCCAUCAUCAAGGUCCCAGCUUUAUGCGUAAUAUAUAAAUGUGUGUUUGUUCUUGUGGUUGAAUGUGAGUUUAAAUGGAUUUGUGGAGGAUUGGAUUCUCGCUUGGAUGCCAGUUUGGUUGCGAUUGCUAUAAAUCCAAUUUCGCGCAAAAACCAAAUAUUUACAAUUUUAAAAUUUGAAUUUUAUUCCAAUUCUACACAAUCAAACGCUCUUGAGGCUCAUUUGGAUUUGUUUUUGUCUGUUUCGUUUCUGAUUCAGUUUUCUGUUUGCGAUGAAUGUGGGUUUUAAAGGAUGUCAUUCGUGAUGGAUGCUUUGAUGCAUUGAAUUUUCUGUAGAAGCCAUGUGAAUUUGGUUUGAUACUUGUAUCUUCAUUUUUAUUUCCAUAGUUUUUUCUUUUAACACUAUCAGUUACAGAGUUGCUUGACUAGUGAGUCCUUAAUAUGUUUCUUUAGAGGAGUUCCCUCGAAUGUUUCACGAGUUAUGAAAAUAUUGGAACUUUACAAAUGUAAGUUAUGAACUGAAACUCUUUUCAUCAACAUUCCAAAUAUUUAGAUUCAUUUUAAAUUCUUUUAUUCAUUGGAGAUUCAUUCCAAAUAAUGUGCUUAAAUGUGAAAAUAUUGGAACUUUUUGAAUGCUUUCACUAUGAACUGAAAUUCUUUUCUAUGUACAAAUUUGCGAGAUGUGCUACAAUUCUUUCACAAAUUACUAUAAGUUGUAUUUGCAAUGAUCUACUUGUAUAAAUUCUGCGUGUAGGAUCCAAGUCGCUUAGUUGCUCUCAUAAUUUAUCAUGCUACUAGUUUAUGUUUUUGAAAUUUUAGCUUCUAAUAUUAGUGGAUCCUAACUGAAAUUUGCUUCAGUUUAUUGAUGUGGAGCAUUUACAGUAAUCACAUAAUUUACUUGGAGCCUUGUAUUCCAAAUUGAUUUAGUUUCUUAUAAAGAAAUGGAUUGUGAAACUUUUGUUCAUUUUGAUUAACCACAUGACAGGUGGGAAGGA
RNAcentral lists this unclassified non-coding RNA (1003 nucleotides) under Hevea brasiliensis (rubber tree). The record is from RNAcentral. Lineage: Eukaryota; Viridiplantae; Streptophyta; Magnoliopsida; Malpighiales; Euphorbiaceae.